Molecule: transfer RNA, 35 nt
Filed under: Narcissia trigonaria
Lineage: Eukaryota; Metazoa; Echinodermata; Asteroidea; Valvatida; Ophidiasteridae
Description: partial tRNA-Thr
Source: RNAcentral
GAAUUACGCCUUAAAAGCUAACCCGCAGCAGUUAA